UGGAUGAAAAUACCCCCAACUUUGGCCGGUCCGCUUUUAAUACUCCCAACUAUGUGUUAUUUUUAAAUACCCCCAACUAUGGGGGUGGUACGCCUAAAAUACCCCGCUGACCUAUUACCACCGGAAGAACUGGUAAAAAAAGGCACGUGCCUUAGUCGUGCCUAAAAUUACCUGGUUAAUGGACCAACUGUCCAUAUUUAAUUUUUGACCGUUAUUUUCUCCAUUAAAAUCCCACCCCCCACACAUCUCUCCUCAUCUCCCUGCUCACAUCUCUCCUCAUCUCUCUACUCCUCUCUCUACUCAUAUCUCUUCCUGCGUUCUUCAAUGGCGUCGAACACCACAACUGGCUCUUCUUCUUACAGGUCUAGGUCCACAAGGUCGAAAAGUGGUGGUCAGAUGGUGUGUUAUCAUCAACAAAUUCGCCCAUUAGGGUUGUUAGGGUUGAAGGGCCAACAAAAGGAAAACGGUUUUAUGGCUGCGCUUAUUGGCCUGCAACCUGUGGGUUCUUCAAAUGGGCAGAUGAGUUGGAUGAUGUGGGUGAACUCCAACAUGGGAUAUUUGUAAGGGAUGGGUUUAUUCAAGAACUUGAAGAUCAGAAUAUUUUGCUGAGAGAGAAAAUAAAGAAGUUGAAAAUGAAGCAGGAAAAGUUGGUGGAUGAAGUUGAGGAAAUGGGUAUUGCCACAACUGAAACUCUGUAUGAGUUGAAAUCCAACACCACUGAGAAGAAGUUGUUGUUUGGGUUGUUCAUGUCUUGGGUUUUUUUUGCAAUUAUGUUCUUGUUGAAGUAAUGUAUGUGGAGUUGUAGGAGAAGGCAGUUUUUGGUUGGGGUAGGAAGGUGUAAUGUAUGUGAAGUUGGGGUAGAAUUUUGGUUGGGGUAGGAAGUUUAAGCUUGUGUCUUGCUGGUCUUUUGGCCCUUUUUGUGUAAUAGACAGCAAAGACAAUGAUGUAAUGGUUUUUGAAUGAUCUUGAAAUCAACAUGAAUUCUAUUGGAA
Beta vulgaris subsp. vulgaris (sugar beet) is the source of this 992-nucleotide long non-coding RNA. RefSeq lists it as uncharacterized. NCBI's taxonomy places the organism in Eukaryota, Viridiplantae, Streptophyta, Magnoliopsida, Caryophyllales, Amaranthaceae. The record is from RefSeq and is a predicted model, not a curated record. The transcript is spliced from 2 exons.